RNAcentral lists this ribosomal RNA (647 nucleotides) under Talitridae sp. 1 AM-2019. RNAcentral's name for it is "SSU rRNA". It matches the Rfam family "Eukaryotic small subunit ribosomal RNA", at positions 1308 to 1796 of the family's 1831-position model. Lineage: Eukaryota; Metazoa; Arthropoda; Malacostraca; Amphipoda; Talitridae. The record is from RNAcentral.
GAUCUGUCUGGUUAAUUCCGAUAACGAACGAGACUCUCCUCUGCUAAGCUGGAUCUUGAAUUGCUGAGUUGCUCAUUGCCUCGUUCGCGCGUGUCUGCGCUCCCGUGUUUUGCGGCUGUCCUUGCUCUUGCCUUCACGGGCGGGGUCUGGGCGGUGUCUUGCGGGCGCGGGUCAGUGUGGUGCGUUGCGGGCGGGUGUCUUUGGCACUCCAAGUCCGUCGGCUCACGCCCGCUGUUGCGGGUUGUGUGGUACAAGUUCUUCUUAGAGAGAUUGACGGCUCUGAAGCCGUACGAGAAUGAGAGCAAUAACAGGUCUGUGAUGCCCUCAGAUGCCCUGGGCCGCACGCGCGCUACAAUGCGGACACAGCAGGUCUAGCCUGCUCCGAGAGGAGCGGGUAACCCUGUCAAAGUCCUGGGCGUGCUUGGGCCUGGGGCUUGCAAUUCUUUCCCACAAACAAGGAAUGCCUUGUAGUGGCGAGUCACUGAGCUCGCUGUGACUCAGUCCCUGCCCUUUGUACACACCGCCCGUCGCUACUACCGAUUGGGUGUACCAGUGAGAACCUUGGACUGGCGUCCGGUGCUCGCGCACCUGGGUCUGACGGAAAGAGGUUCGAACUGGUGCACUUAGAGGAAGUAAAAGUCGUAACA